GUGUGUAUUGAUACCACCCUGAACACACCUGGUCUCAGAAGCUAAGCACAGUCGGGCCUGGUUAGUACUUGGAUGAGAGACAAACUAUAUUCUUGAAAGUCACCAGAUUGCCAUAUUGGAUAUAUACC
Molecule: ribosomal RNA, 128 nt
Filed under: Microcebus murinus (gray mouse lemur)
Lineage: Eukaryota; Metazoa; Chordata; Mammalia; Primates; Cheirogaleidae
Source: RNAcentral